RNAcentral lists this transfer RNA (77 nucleotides) under Henriciella barbarensis. Its description in RNAcentral is "tRNA-Pro". It matches the Rfam family "tRNA". From Rfam's summary of the family: Transfer RNA (tRNA) molecules are approximately 80 nucleotides in length. Their secondary structure includes four short double-helical elements and three loops (D, anti-codon, and T loops). Further hydrogen bonds mediate the characteristic L-shaped molecular structure. tRNAs have two regions of fundamental functional importance: the anti-codon, which is responsible for specific mRNA codon recognition, and the 3' end, to which the tRNAs corresponding amino acid is attached (by aminoacyl-tRNA synthetases). tRNAs cope with the degeneracy of the genetic code in two manners: having more than one tRNA (with a specific anti-codon) for a particular amino acid; and 'wobble' base-pairing, i.e. permitting non-standard base-pairing at the 3rd anti-codon position. RNAcentral also lists the same sequence under 8 other names. The record is from RNAcentral. Lineage: Bacteria; Pseudomonadati; Pseudomonadota; Alphaproteobacteria; Hyphomonadales; Hyphomonadaceae.
CGGAGCGUGGCGCAGCCUGGUAGCGCAUCUGGUUUGGGACCAGAGGGUCGGAGGUUCGAAUCCUCUCGCUCCGACCA